Anas platyrhynchos (mallard) is the source of this 650-nucleotide non-coding RNA. Lineage: Eukaryota; Metazoa; Chordata; Aves; Anseriformes; Anatidae. The record is from RefSeq and is a predicted model, not a curated record.
UUGAAUGCAAAUGAGGUAAUUUACAGUUACUUCCACCCCUGUAAGACUGCCUGUUUUCCUAGCCUAGGCUCAUAACUCUAUGAAAACCCAGUGCUCCUUGCGGGACCCUCCCAACUCAGGAUAUUCGGUGAUUCUCUGACACCGUUAAUCACCUGGGGUUAGAGCCUGGCCAUUGAAAGUCUACACAGAGAGAGUUUUAUUCUCAUUUUCAAAUAGCUGGCCCGGGUACCAUUCUCGCUCUCUGUCCCCCGUUACAAUGUCUGACUUUCAGAGAUUUUCAGCUUUGCACAUGAAUGGAUACCCUUCUAUUGAGGCCUUUCUGUUGGGGGAUGAAACAAACCAACUGCAAAAGAAUACCACGGAAUUCACUUUGUGCACUAUCUCUGCAAAGUUUUUUUUUUUUUUUUUUUUUUUUUUUUUUUUUUUUUUUUUUUUCCCUGAGACUCCAUGGGGAAAAAAAAAUCAGAAGCUUGAAACGUCUUGUGCAAAACAUUCAGAAUAGACAGGACAACCCAGCAUUCCUCACAGUCGGCUCUACAAUAAAACUGCACGCAAAUCUCUUACCAACUACACACUUUCUUACCAAAGAUGGAGUGUAAAAUAAGUUGCUAUAAUUCUUCUGAAGCCCAUCUGUGGUUAUGAAGAUAAAA